GAAAUGCAGGUGCAGCUGGACAUUCUUCUGAGCUAAAAGCAUAUUUAUUUAGUCCCGUCAAACGGAUUAUUACUUUUGCUCUAGCUAACAUAAAGGUUGAUUGUUCUCUAUGCUGACUGAUGCAGGAUUACCAAGUUUUUCAUUCGUGAAAGACUUGUAAACUCGAUCUCAAAUCAAGUAAGACUACCCGCUGAACUUAA
This 200-nucleotide unclassified non-coding RNA is filed under the name soil metagenome. RNAcentral's name for it is "partial contains internal transcribed spacer 2 and large subunit ribosomal RNA". The record is from RNAcentral.